UACGGAAGGCAGCAGUGGGGAAUAUUGCACAAUGGGCGCAAGCCUGAUGCAGCCAUGCCGCGUGUAUGAAGAAGGCCUUCGGGUUGUAAAGUACUUUCAGUCGUGAGGAAGGUGUUAAGGUUAAUAACCUUAGCAAUUGACGUUAGCGACAGAAGAAGCACCGGCUAACUCCGUGCCAGCAGCCGCGGUAAUACGGAGGGUGCGAGCGUUAAUCGGAAUUACUGGGCGUAAAGGGCACGCAGGCGGUUAAUUAAGUUGGAUGUGAAAUCCCCGGGCUUAACCUGGGAAUGGCAUUCAAGACUGGUUAGCUAGAGUCUUGUAGAGGGGGUAGAAUUCCAUGUGUAGCGGUGAAAUGCGUAGAGAUGUGGAGGAAUACCGGUGGCGAAGGCGGCCCCUGGGACAAAGGCUGACGCUCAUGUGCGAAAGCGUGGGGAGCAAACGAGGGAUUAGAUACC
Molecule: ribosomal RNA, 455 nt
Filed under: uncultured bacterium
Lineage: Bacteria
Description: bacterial SSU rRNA
Rfam family: Bacterial small subunit ribosomal RNA
Source: RNAcentral